Molecule: ribosomal RNA, 255 nt
Filed under: uncultured bacterium
Lineage: Bacteria
Description: partial 16S ribosomal RNA
Rfam family: Bacterial small subunit ribosomal RNA
Source: RNAcentral
GACAGAGGGUGCAAACGUUGUUCGGAAUUACUGGGCGUAAAGCGAGUGUAGGCGGUUUCCUAAGUCAGGUGUGAAAGCCCCCGGGCUCAACCCCGGGAAGUGCACUUGAAACUGGGAGGCUAGAGUAUCGGAGAGGUUGGUGGAAUUCUCGGUGUAGAGGUGAAAUUCGUAGAUAUUGGGAAGAACACCGGUGGCGAAGGCGGCAACCUAGUCCGGUACUGACGCUGAGGUGCGAAAGCGUGGGGAGCAAACAGG